CAAUAGCGUAUAUUUAAGUUGUUGCAGUUAAAAAGCUCGUAGUUGGAUUUCGGAUGGGAUUUGCCGGUCCGUCGUUACGAUGUGCACUGGCCAGUCCUAUCUUGUUGUCGGGGACUAGCUCCUUGGAUUCACUUCCUGGGACUAGGAGCUGACGAGGUUACUUUGAGUAAAUUAGAGUGUUCAAAGCAAGCCUACGCUCUGAAUACAUUAGCAUGGAAUAACACGAUAGGACUCUGGCUUAUCUUGUUGGUCUGUGAGACCAGAGUAAUGAUUAAGAGGGACAGUCGUGGACAUUCGUAUUUCAUUGUCAGAGGUGAAAUUCUUGGAUUUAUGAAAGACGAACUUCUGCGAAAGCAUUUGUCAAGGAUGUUUUCAUUAA
RNAcentral lists this ribosomal RNA (379 nucleotides) under uncultured eukaryote. Its description in RNAcentral is "partial 18S ribosomal RNA". It matches the Rfam family "Eukaryotic small subunit ribosomal RNA", at positions 592 to 976 of the family's 1831-position model. The record is from RNAcentral.